Molecule: ribosomal RNA, 253 nt
Filed under: uncultured bacterium
Lineage: Bacteria
Description: partial 16S ribosomal RNA
Rfam family: Bacterial small subunit ribosomal RNA
Source: RNAcentral
UACGUAGGGUGCAAGCGUUAAUCGGAAUUACUGGGCGUAAAGCGUGCGCAGGCGGUUGUGCAAGACAGAUGUGAAAUCCCCGGGCUUAACCUGGGAACUGCAUUUGUGACUGCACGGCUAGAGUACGGUAGAGGGGGAUGGAAUUCCGCGUGUAGCAGUGAAAUGCGUAGAUAUCUGGAGGAACACCGGUGGCGAAGGCGGCAUCCUGGACCGACACUGACGCUGAGGAGCGAAAGCCAGGGGAGCAAACGGG